CGCACAGUGGAUUAGUGGUUAGCACGUUCGUCUCACACCUCCAGUGUCGGGGGUUUGAUUCCCACCUGUGUGU
Ameiurus melas (black bullhead) is the source of this 73-nucleotide non-coding RNA. NCBI's taxonomy places the organism in Eukaryota, Metazoa, Chordata, Actinopteri, Siluriformes, Ictaluridae. The record is from the annotation of a GenBank genome assembly.